Molecule: long non-coding RNA, 1058 nt
Organism: Aethalodelphis obliquidens (Pacific white-sided dolphin)
Lineage: Eukaryota; Metazoa; Chordata; Mammalia; Artiodactyla; Delphinidae
Exons: 2
Source: RefSeq, a predicted model, not a curated record
AUCAUCACAUCCAAAUUAUUGGGCCUCAGAUCGCACCCACAGCCAUUUCUUCUCAUGCUUCACGUAGAGAAGUUCCAGCUGGGAACUCCCUAUGCGGAGAGAUCUACAGCUAGAAAAGGUGAUCAGGCGGUCAUUGCAGAAAUAAGGACAGGCAGCCGGUGCUCCUUGCCGGGACCUGGUCUAUAGUAUCUGCCCCCAAAAGUGAGCUCGCCUCUGUGGGCCCACUUGCUCUGGUUUUGUGUGUUUUCUGCCAGCCCCACAAGAGAUCCCACAGGAGAGUCAACUCGGGACACAUGGUGAUGGAGCACCUGGCUUGGAGCCUAGUUCAGAAGUCAGGUUGCAAGAAGCUUUCUGGAGACCACACUAAAAACUGAAGAUGUGGACCUGUCAAGAAGCUUGGGUCUGAGAUAGAUCAGUCAGCUAAGAGCAAACACAGCCAAGAUCCCGAGGCGUUUACCGGAAGUCCUGUGGACCAUCUGACUGCGGGCGGCUGGGCUCCUGGAAGCCAGACAACCCCUCCAGCCCAGGCCUGCUUAGCUCCGCCCUCUCUCCUUCUCUUGAGGUGAGAAGGCGUUUCCUUAGAAGACAAAUGGCAUCAGCUGGGUACUCACUGAGCUUCUCUGCAUGGCCCACUCCUUCCCUUCCCAUUGAGCAACGCCCUUUCGACUUGCAUAUCUGGUCCAACUGAACGUGCUUGUUAUGGGAACUAGACAUUCCAUCAAAUUUGUCUUCAUCUGGAGACCCAGGAGGAAGGGGACCUGGGACUUUCUCCGGCCACCAUGCAGCACUGGGCCUUGAUUUAGUUUUAUGUAAAUUGUGCUGCUUUUCCACUUUUGCCCCCAGAAGAGAGUAGGAGGUCACAAGCCCUCAUCCCUCUCUUGGCCACAGGGAUCAAAUUGCUCUGGCCCAGGAAGGGGUCCAUUUGCGAUCCUCUUCUCCUCCACCCUCCCCACAGCCCGGAGGAGGUAAGGAGCUGGCCGGGGUCACCCCCAGACCACCUCUUCCCAAGGGGGCUGUUCCUGCCUUUCCUCCGAGGAUUCUUGGACUGCCCUUGGCAG